This 972-nucleotide ribosomal RNA is filed under the name Triticum aestivum (bread wheat). Its description in RNAcentral is "partial small subunit ribosomal RNA". The record is from RNAcentral. Lineage: Eukaryota; Viridiplantae; Streptophyta; Magnoliopsida; Poales; Poaceae.
AUGCCUGAGCAGGUGGAAUGGGAGCCGUAUGGAAAAGGAGAGAGUUUUGGUAACCCUAUAGAGUUCAGGCUUAAUCCGAUGUGCAUUAGGGAUAGGGAUCUCUGGCAUAUGCGGUGCCCACUGAUAUGCAACUGGGCGGUUGAGCUUCACCUGCCACAUCGGGUGUUCCGCCAGUUUGGUUUGUUCCAGCCACACCCGCCGGAGUGGGAGGACACGGACAAGUUGCUACACGCGUUGGAUAGGAAAAAGCAGCGGAAGAUCAAGGAUUGGGCCAACCAUCACAGGAAGUAUGUCGUGCAGUUCGCUCUUAGUGUGGAGCAAGCAAGGGCUGGAAAACGAGCCCAGCUUUGUGAGCACUGCCCGAUCGCGUUCAACAACUAUCUCGCAUGGUUUCUUGCAAGUACCCGUGUGGAGGUAUGCCAGCCGGCGUAUGCUGAGGAGAUUCUGGAAGAACCCACCGUUUUUGAUGAGAUCAAGAAAGCAGCUGAUGAGACCGAGACUAUUCUGGAAACAACCCCGGCUGGCAAAAGCGAUGGGGAAGGUGCACUUCGAGCAUUCAUUAAGCGCCAGGGCCAAAAGUUAAGGCGGCUAUCAAACCUUUUCGGUUGUCGUGACCCCGAGUAUGUAUCACCAGAACGGUCUAAGUCGGCGACACCAUCAGAUCCCGCUUCGGGGCAGAGCCAUGGUGAACCUUUCGAGGAUGAGGAUGUGGGUGUGGUCACCCAAGAGGCUCGGUCUGCAUACGAGUUGAAGCCUAGGAAGGGAAUCAACAAGUACACACCUGAAGACUUCACCCAAAGAGGCCAAAGAGGCAAAAGGACGGUCGGCACCUCGCGGAUGGCGGCUUUGGAUGACGAUGUCGAACCGGAGCCGGAGCCUGAGCCGGAGCCGGAGCGGGUUCCUCUUCCUAGGAAGGUGAAGAAGAUAAGCGUCAAGAGGGGGGGAGGAGCCAGCAAGCGUGGAAAGCACUAG